CUCCUCUUCUUGUUUGCACGCAUCAUCACAGAAGCUGAAAUACGUAAUGCGACGUCAUGACGUAUACAGAAACAAACAUGGCGCCGCGAAAGUGAGAGAAAACUCCGACUUAUAGUACAGCCAAGCAGGAUGUCCCUGAGGAAGCAACGCAGUAGGGACAGACCCCCUGAAAGCCCAUCAUUGGAUGCACAGGAAAACAAAGGUGUCACUGAUGGGAAGGAACAGGAUGAAUGCUCAGCUUGGCUUCUGUCCCCAGUCUUGUCAGAACGAGAAAAACGAUGGCGAGAAAGGAAAUACAAAGCCAAGUACAAAGACAUGACAGAUGAGGAGAUGAUGGCUUUGGCCCUCCAUCAAAGUGCGCAAGAAGCUGGCGUCAUUGCGCACAAAGUGCAACAGGAAGAAGUAGCCGUGAUGAGAGCCAUCCGAGAGAGUAGUGGUGAUUCCACGCAGACUGAAGACUGUCUGCUCCAUGAAUCCCCCGUCUUCCCCGCGUGUGACCGCGAAGCCAAAGUGACCGUUCCCAGUCUGAGCAAGGACAUGCUGCAGACAUGCGAGACUGUUGGCUUUGUGGUCUGUUCGCAGCUCUUGCCUGAGGAAAUCCCUUCUUUGGCUGGGCCAAAAAAUCCCUUCUUCUCCGAGUCAGACACAGGAGACGAUUGCGCCGUGGGAGACGAUUGCACACAGUGUAUAAAAAGCCCAGUGUUUGGCGAUGGAACGCGACUCAUCGAGUCUCUGGAUGCCAAAACUAAGAGUCGAGAUGGACCAAACUCGGGCUGGAUCUUUUAUUCUCAGGAAAGCUCAAGCCCAUCUGAAAGACCUUCUACCUCUCUGACGUUAAGCCCCGUAUUCCCAAGAAGCCCGACGCCCUCUGAGAAAUUUGCUUCCCCAAUAAACUCGACACUCUUAAUAGAUGAUUCCGUCUCGCCGUGGAAAGACUUAACGCACGACCAAGAUGCCCAGUCGAUAAGCGAAGACGAGCAAAACAUUCCCGAUAUUGCUGGCGACUCAUCCGAAACAGAGCUGACCAGUGACUCGACGCCUCGUCGAACCAUCAAAGAUAGAGAUGAGACGGUAAGAUCAUGCAGUCCAAUCUUCCCAGAGGAGAAGCGCUUCCAACGGACUCCAGUGGAAGCUGUCUGUUUGAACGACGAGACCCAAGUCGACCUGGGGGCAAACGCCGCCAGCUGCAGCCUAAACGAACAGCGGUUUGUCCCCUCCCAGCCGACUGUUCACUACUACUGGGGUGUCCCCUUCUGUCCUCGCGGUCUGGACCCAGACGCCUACACGCAGGUCAUCGUAACCCAGUUUGAGGUGUAUGCAAACUGUCUAAAGGAGGCACAGAGGAGUCUGCUGAGAAAGGCCCCAUGGGGGGAUCCCAUUCUCCCUCUAUCAGAGAAAUUACCUGAGAUUCCACAAAGCAGGUGUGGCGGCAGAAAAAAACGAAAGCUUGGUAAUCAGGACACGGUCAGCCAUCUGGGUGAGAUGGAAACAAGAACGAUGGAGGAGGUUGAAGAGGAGGAAGAGCAUCAGCAGCAGCAGCAGCAGAGUGGGAAUCCAUGUGAGACUGGAGAUCUGACAGAUACCGACGAGAGUUUGGUUUGUCCAGAGACCCAAAUGAGUCAGGAUUGUCACACCGAUAUAUUUAAGCCCAACAGCCCGAAAUGCCCCGAAACUACAAAGAGAAGCCACGAGUCAGAUAUCCAAAAGCUCGGGGAUGAGGAGCACAUGAGGAAAGUCUCUGCCAACAGAGAGAAUCAGACAAACCAUCUUGUCAGCAGCUAUGGUGCGACACAUGAGGAAGAAAGCGUACCUACGGUGUUGCGUUCACCCGAGCCGGAAGCUGCCAUGGAGUGUCCCAUUUGUCAGGGAACAUUCGCCAUUGAUGAGAUUGAACAGCACGCGGCAUUCUGCAACGACGAGGCAGAGACCGAGGACGACGGGGGACUUGGUGACCAAUUUUUGCAAGUAUCCUUGAGGCCGCGAAGGAAGAGGAGGAGAACAACAGAAGAGGGCGACGCCUCGUCCACUGACAAAAUCCAGGAGAAAUGUUAUGUCUGCCAAAAGGUGGUGGCUCGGCGAGACUACGGUGCGCAUACUGAGCUCUGCAUUCAACAGCGGACGACAAAAGACAACAGAGUUGGAGGAAAUCUGUUGAAAGCUUUGGAAGAUAUAGAGAGCAGGCAUGCAGGAGCCGGUCCAUCCAGUUGCAAACUCCAGCAAGGCGAUGUCAUCGACCUUCUGGAUGACGACGAGGAAGAGACGGCGGCUGUUUCCAUGGCAGAUAUUUGCAACUCACCCAUUAGGUCGUUCACACCCAUCUCAGAGGUCACUGAUUGCCUCGUGGACUUUAAGCGGCGGCGGCGGCUGAAGAAGCCAGGUCACAAACCAAGGUGAAGGAUGAGGGGAAAUGCCCGACGAGCCUUAACAAAGAUGGUAAACGCCAGAAAUUCUUUAAAUCAUUGGCUACCAUUGACGACGAUUGACGGCCGAUCAUUCAACUGGGAGGCGCCGACCAGCGCCUCCCAUUUGAAACGGAUCAGAUGUCUUCUAGUAAAAAAAAAAAUUCACACAUGAAGGUUGGACGCCACAUGAUUGGACAUCUGUUAUCAUCAAUGGGAGUGAAGGAUUUAAACUGAUGCACUUCAAUAAAUUGUAUUCUGUAUCAAUUUCCUGUUUCUCAAUACAUGUCUAAUAAAUGACAAAUUUUUCUCAGAUGAAUUUUGUAAUUUUCAUUCGACUUUAUUUGAUGAAAUUGGCUAUAUUUAAUAUACAGAACUUUUUGUGUGAAAGUGAUUUUGGUUGCAAGAAAAUUGAGAGGGUUAGUACUGUAGCUUGUUGCUCGACGUGAUUACUUUAGGAUACAAUGUUUUACAGAAAUGUUUUUCUAUUUUCUUUUUUUCUUUUUUCAAACAGUUUUCCAAUGAGACCGUUUGAUGCCUUAUUUAAUUUUAGAGUUUGAAUAUUCCCAAUUUGUUUGGGGAAAAAAUAGGUCUGGAGUGGCGUGGCUCAGUGGUAGAGUAGUUGUCCCCCAACCCAGAGGUUGUGGGUUUGAUUCUCUGCCCUGAUGAACUCGUCUAAGUAUCUUUGAGCAAGAUAUUUUACCCCAUGUUGCUCCUGGUGCUGCGUCACCAGUAGGUGGAUGGGGAUGUAGUGUAAAGCACUUUGAGGUCUGCGAAGGUGGAAAGGCGCUAUACAAGUAUAACUAUUUACCAGUUUCACUAACCGUUUUUAGGGCAUUCAUUGGCUGCCAUUGACGACUCUAGACGUUCAAUCUGUUUGGACUGGGAAGGGCCACCGACUCCAAAUGGAUUGGAUGUCUAAUGCUCUCAAUGGCACUGAAAGUUCAGUAUUCAGAGCCAGUUUAAAUUUAUUGGAUGUGUAUGGUUGUCAUUUGCAAGCAAAGAGGUAAAUACGGUAUUAUGAAAAAACAACAACUCUAGAGUUGUAUCGGGUGUCAUAACUACAGUAUAUUUUUUUAUUCAUUAAAAAAAAAAAAAAAAUCAUAAAAAUAAAUCACAGAGAUGUGGCCUCUAUAUACAGUAUACAGGUCACGAGUGAGUUUUUAGAGGGAUUAAUUUAAUAAGAAAUUCACCCUAUGUUGUUACAAAGUACCCUUUACAUUUCAUCAGGCUGGAGUUUUUGUAUUUCCCCUUAAGUGUGUGUGAGUGAGGCACUUUGACGCACACUUGGGUUUUCGCAAUGUCACAAUCAGCUUCUCGCUGCUGCCCUCUUCAUGUGCCUGCUUGUAUUAUUGAAUUUUUUUCCUCCUACAUGUGCUGUCACUUUCUCCCUCUGGCCGGAUGGCUGAGCAUACUCAGUUUGGGAGAGGACAUAGCAGAUUGCGUGUGAGAGAAACUGGGACUACUGUACUUGUGUGCUUGGACGACUACAGUGGGUGUAUACGUUACUUCAGUCAGUGUAGGUGAACGACAGAAAUGCAAAGACAAUCAUCAAUGGACGGCAACAUCUGCACCAUCCAUGUUGACGGCAUCCCUCAGGACACGCUCACCAAGGUGGAAAGCUACCUGAAGCCGUUUGUGCUGUCUCUGGAUGUACUGCAGCAGGUUUCUACUCGCCUGGAGCGUGAGCUGAAGCGAGGGUUGGGAAAACACUCGCACCACAGAGCCGCCGUCCAGAUGCUCCCAACCUUCGUCACGGCCACGCCAGAUGGGACAG
RNA transcript from Corythoichthys intestinalis (scribbled pipefish), 4176 nucleotides. It is a transcript of the gene named hexokinase-2-like, with no coding region annotated. The record is from RefSeq and is a predicted model, not a curated record. The transcript has 21 exons. NCBI's taxonomy places the organism in Eukaryota, Metazoa, Chordata, Actinopteri, Syngnathiformes, Syngnathidae.